AUACGGAGGGUGCAAGCGUUACUCGGAAUUUCUGGGCGUAAAGGGUGCGUAGGCGGCUUGAUAAGUCGGAUGUGAAAGCCCCGGGCUUAACCUGGGAAUUGCAUUCGAUACUGUCAGGCUAGAGUAUGUCAGAGGUUGGCGGAAUUCCUGGUGUAGCGGUGAAAUGCGUAGAUAUCAGGAGGAACACCAGUGGCGAAGGCGGCUAACUGGGGCAAUACUGACGCUGAGGCACGAAAGCGUGGGGAGCAAACAGGAUUAGAAACCCUGGUAGUCC
This 274-nucleotide ribosomal RNA is filed under the name uncultured bacterium. RNAcentral describes it as "partial 16S ribosomal RNA". It matches the Rfam family "Bacterial small subunit ribosomal RNA", at positions 523 to 796 of the family's 1533-position model. The record is from RNAcentral.